Molecule: ribosomal RNA, 465 nt
Filed under: uncultured bacterium
Lineage: Bacteria
Description: partial 16S ribosomal RNA
Rfam family: Bacterial small subunit ribosomal RNA
Source: RNAcentral
GACGAACGCUGGCGGCGUGCUUAACACAUGCAAGUCGAACGGAAAGGCCCCUUUGGGGGUACUCGAGUGGCGAACGGGUGAGUAACACGUGAGUAACCUGCCCUUGACUUCGGGAUAACUUCAGGAAACUGGGGCUAAUACCGGAUAGGAAUCCUUGCUGCAUGGUGGGGGUUGGAAAGCUUCGGCGGUUUUGGAUGGACUCGCGGCUUAUCAGCUUGUUGGUGGGGUAGUGGCUUACCAAGGCUUUGACGGGUAGCCGGCCUGAGAGGGCGACCGGCCACAUUGGGACUGAGAUACGGCCCAGACUCCUACGGGAGGCAGCAGGGGGGAAUAUUGCACAAUGGGCGGAAGCCUGAUGCAGCAACGCCGCGGGCGGGAGGACGGCCUUCGGGUUGGAAACCGCUUUCAGCAGGGGCGAAGCUUGUGGUGACGGUACCUGCAGAAGAAGCACCGGCUAACUACGUG